RNAcentral lists this ribosomal RNA (492 nucleotides) under uncultured bacterium. RNAcentral's name for it is "partial 16S ribosomal RNA". It matches the Rfam family "Bacterial small subunit ribosomal RNA", at positions 29 to 507 of the family's 1533-position model. The record is from RNAcentral.
AGUGAACGCUGGCGGUAGGCCUAACACAUACAAGUCGAACGGCAGCACAGUAAGAGCUUGCUCUUACGGGUGGCGAGUGGCGGACGGGUGAGGAAUACAUCGGAAUCUACUUUUUCGUGGGGGAUAACGUAGGGAAACUUACGCUAAUACCGCAUACGACCUACGGGUGAAAGCAGUGGAUCUUCGGACCUUGCGCGAUUGAAUGAGCCGAUGUCGGAUUAGCUAGUUGGCGGGGUAAAGGCCCACCAAGGCGACGAUCCGUAGCUGGUCUGAGAGGAUGAUCAGCCACACUGGAACUGAGACACGGUCCAGACUCCUACGGGAGGCAGCAGUGGGGAAUAUUGGACAAAGGGCGCAAGCCUGAUCCAGCCAUACCGCGUGGGUGAAGAAGGCCUUCGGGUUGUAAAGCCCUUUUGUUGGGAAAGAAAAGCAGCAGGUUAAUACCCCGCUGUUCUGACGGUACCCAAAGAAUAAGCACCGGCUAACUUCGUG